RNAcentral lists this ribosomal RNA (465 nucleotides) under Streptococcus infantis. Its description in RNAcentral is "bacterial SSU rRNA". It matches the Rfam family "Bacterial small subunit ribosomal RNA", at positions 28 to 475 of the family's 1533-position model. The record is from RNAcentral. Lineage: Bacteria; Bacillati; Bacillota; Bacilli; Lactobacillales; Streptococcaceae.
GACGAACGCUGGCGGCGUGCCUAAUACAUGCAAGUAGAACGCUGAAGGAAGGAGCUUGCUCUUUCCGGAUGAGUUGCGAACGGGUGAGUAACGCGUAGGUAACCUGCCUGGUAGCGGGGGAUAACUAUUGGAAACGAUAGCUAAUACCGCAUAACAGUAGAUAUCGCAUGAUAGCUGCUUGAAAGGUGCAAUUGCACCACUACCAGAUGGACCUGCGUUGUAUUAGCUAGUUGGUGAGGUAACGGCUCACCAAGGCAACGAUACAUAGCCGACCUGAGAGGGUGAUCGGCCACACUGGGACUGAGACACGGCCCAGACUCCUACGGGAGGCGGCAGUAGGGAAUCUUCGGCAAUGGACGGAAGUCUGACCGAGCAACGCCGCGUGAGUGAAGAAGGUUUUCGGAUCGUAAAGCUCUGUUGUAAGAGAAGAACGAGUGUGAGAGUGGAAAGUUCACACUGUGACGG